AGUCCUGCCUGAUUUGCAAAUGUAAAAACUGGCAGAGCCUUCAAAGAGCAGCACAUAACUGCAUCAGAGUGAUGCCAAAGUGAUUUCAGAAUGGAUUCACUUCCUUCACUUUUGAGUAGUUCCACGCCUAGAUAGCACCUAUAGCUUUGACAUAUCCAACGUGCAAGUGUAUGCGCUUCGGGAGUUCCAGGUGGUGGCCGGAAACCAACAUGGGAACCAAAACGAGAAGGGGAAAGGGCCAAUGCCACCCUUUGAACUGAGGCAAUAACACUACGGACAUACUGCCGAGACAUGGAUGCCACAUUUUCUUGGAGGUGGAGUUCAAAUGCAAAUUGGAAUGCUAU
RNAcentral lists this unclassified non-coding RNA (344 nucleotides) under Hevea brasiliensis (rubber tree). Lineage: Eukaryota; Viridiplantae; Streptophyta; Magnoliopsida; Malpighiales; Euphorbiaceae. The record is from RNAcentral.